This 24-nucleotide non-coding RNA is filed under the name Cricetulus griseus (Chinese hamster). The record is from RNAcentral. Lineage: Eukaryota; Metazoa; Chordata; Mammalia; Rodentia; Cricetidae.
AUACCUGUCUACUUUUUGCAUUAG